RNAcentral lists this ribosomal RNA (333 nucleotides) under uncultured bacterium. RNAcentral's name for it is "bacterial SSU rRNA". It matches the Rfam family "Bacterial small subunit ribosomal RNA", at positions 774 to 1101 of the family's 1533-position model. The record is from RNAcentral.
AGUAAAUAGAUACCCUGGUAGUCCACGCCGUAAACGAUGUCGACUUGGAGGUUGUGCCCCUUGAGGCGUGGCUUCCGGAGCUAAACGCGUUAAGUCGACCGCCUGGGGAGUACGGCCGCAAGGUUAAAACUCAAAUGAAUUGACGGGGCCCGCACAAGCGGUGGAGCAUGUGGUUUAAUUCGAUGCAACGCGAAGAACCUUACCUACUCUUGACACUCCAGAGAACUUAGCAGAGAUGCUUUGGUGCCUUCGGGUAACGUCUGAGACAGGUGCUGCAUGGCUGUCGUCAGCUCGUGUUGUGAAAUGUUGGGUUAAGUCCCGCAACGAGCGCAA